Molecule: transfer RNA, 85 nt
Filed under: Candidatus Daviesbacteria bacterium RIFCSPHIGHO2_01_FULL_41_23
Lineage: Bacteria; Candidatus Daviesiibacteriota
Also listed under: 2 other names
Description: tRNA-Ser
Rfam family: tRNA
About the family: Transfer RNA (tRNA) molecules are approximately 80 nucleotides in length. Their secondary structure includes four short double-helical elements and three loops (D, anti-codon, and T loops).
Source: RNAcentral
GGAGGGUGGGCCGGACGGUAAGGUAAUGGUUUCGAAAACCAUCGGGUGAAAGCCCUAGCAGGUUCGACUCCUGCACCCUCCGCCU